UACGUAGGGGGCAAGCGUUGUCCGGAUUUAUUGGGCGUAAAGAGCGUGUAGGCGGCCAUGCAGGUCCGCUGUGAAAACUGGAGGCUUAACCUCCAGACGUCGGUGGAAACCGCAUGGCUAGAGUCCGGAAGAGGAGAGUGGAAUUCCCGGUGUAGCGGUGGAAUGCGCAGAUAUCGGGAAGAACACCCGUGGCGAAGGCGGCUCUCUGGGACGGUACUGACGCUGAGACGCGAAAGCGUGGGGAGCGAACAGG
RNAcentral lists this ribosomal RNA (253 nucleotides) under uncultured bacterium. Its description in RNAcentral is "partial 16S ribosomal RNA". It matches the Rfam family "Bacterial small subunit ribosomal RNA", at positions 524 to 776 of the family's 1533-position model. The record is from RNAcentral.